GGAGUUUGGGCCGUGUCUCAGUCCCAAUGUGGCCGAUCACCCUCUCAGGUCGGCUAUGGAUCGUAGGCUUGGUGGGCCGUUACUCCGCCAACUACCUAAUCCAACGCGGGCCCAUCGUAUGCCGAUAAAUCUUUUCACACUGUACCAUGCGGUACUGUGCGCUUAUGCGGUAUUAGCAGCCGUUUCCAACUGUUGUCCCCCUGCAUACGGCAGGUUGCCCACGCGUUACUCACCCGUCCGCCACUAAGAUGUAAAUUCAAUCGGCCGAAGCCUCUGUCGUAAACAUCUCCGUUCGACUUGCAUGUGUUAAGCACGCCGCCAGCGUUCAUC
Molecule: ribosomal RNA, 330 nt
Filed under: uncultured Ruminococcus sp.
Lineage: Bacteria; Bacillati; Bacillota; Clostridia; Eubacteriales; Oscillospiraceae
Description: partial 16S ribosomal RNA
Source: RNAcentral